This 263-nucleotide ribosomal RNA is filed under the name uncultured bacterium. RNAcentral describes it as "partial 16S ribosomal RNA". It matches the Rfam family "Bacterial small subunit ribosomal RNA", at positions 793 to 1055 of the family's 1533-position model. The record is from RNAcentral.
GUCCUUGCCGUAAACGAUGUAUACUUGAUGUAGUUGGACUCAACCCCGACUGUGUCGUAGCUAACGCGAUAAGUAUACCGCCUGAGGAGUACGCUCGCAAGGGUGAAACUCAAAAGAAUUGACGGGGGCCCGCACAAGCAGUGGAGCAUGUGGUUUAAUUCGAUGCAACGCGUAGAACCUUACCCAGGCUCGAAGUACAGGGGACAGUCCCUGAAAGGGGAUCUCUCGCAAGGGUCGCUGUAUAGGUGCUGCAUGGCUGUCGU